Molecule: long non-coding RNA, 580 nt
Filed under: Heterocephalus glaber (naked mole-rat)
Lineage: Eukaryota; Metazoa; Chordata; Mammalia; Rodentia; Bathyergidae
Description: lncRNA (ENSHGLG00100034323.1)
Source: RNAcentral
UCCUCUUCCUCCUCUAUGAGAUAUUCAGGGCACUUGUCCUCCUCCCCCUCUACCAGACAUUGCUGGCCCUCUUCCUCCUCCGUCUACUCCUCUACCAGACAUUGCUGACCCUCCUCCUACUCCUCUACCGGACAUCGCUGGCCCUCUUCCUCCUCUUGUACUGGACAUCUCUGGCUCUCCUCCUCCUCCUCUUCCUCCUCCUCCUCUACCAGGCGGCACUUGUCCUCCUCCCCCUCUACCAGACAUUGCUGGCCCUCUUCCUCCUCCGUCUACUCCUCUACCAGACAUUGCUGACCCUCCUCCUACUCCUCUACCGGACAUCGCUGGCCCUCCUCCUCCUCUUGUACCGGACAUCUCUGGCUCUCCUCCUCCUCCUCUUCCUCCUCCUCCUCUACCAGGCGUCACUGUCCCUCCUCCUCCUCUUCUACUAGACAUCAUUGACCCUCCUCCUCCUCCUCCUGUACUAGACAUUCCUGGCCCUCUUCUUCCUCCUCCUCCUAUUUCUCAACCAGAUAGCACUGAUCCUCCUCCUCCUCCACUACCAGACAUUGGUGGUCCUUCUCCUCCUCCUCUAUCAGAC